GACAGAGGGGGCAAGCGUUGCUCGGAAUCACUGGGCGUAAAGGGCGCGUAGGCGGGCUGGCAAGUCAGUCGUGAAAUCUCUCGGCUCAACCGAGAAACGUCGGCUGAUACUGCCGUUCUUGAGGGAUGCAGAGGAGACUGGAAUUCCCGGUGUAGCGGUGAAAUGUGUAGAGAUCCGGAGGAACACCAGAGGCGAAGGCGGCCUACUGGGCUGCACCUGACGCUGAGCCGCGAAAGCCAGGGGAGCGAACGGG
RNAcentral lists this ribosomal RNA (253 nucleotides) under uncultured bacterium. RNAcentral describes it as "partial 16S ribosomal RNA". It matches the Rfam family "Bacterial small subunit ribosomal RNA", at positions 524 to 776 of the family's 1533-position model. The record is from RNAcentral.